This 651-nucleotide ribosomal RNA is filed under the name Triticum aestivum (bread wheat). RNAcentral's name for it is "partial small subunit ribosomal RNA". Lineage: Eukaryota; Viridiplantae; Streptophyta; Magnoliopsida; Poales; Poaceae. The record is from RNAcentral.
AUGAUGUGUUGGAUCUGUCGCCCACCAUUCCAACCUCAACUCUGGUGGGGUUUGCAUUGUUGGAAUGUCGUUUCACCGUGCAAGCCUCUGGUUACUUUUCCGUUAGGUGCCUGUGGUGUCCAGUUGGCAAAUGGCAAUUGGACCCAAGAGGAUAGGACAUAUACGGCGCUGGGAUACCCAGAGAAUUUGCUCACCUUCACUUCAGUUGGUUCCCCUGCUCUCACUUGCUGCAUCUCCCCCGGAGCUCGGGUCAGGUCUACAAUGGCAAUGAUCAGCCCUGCCGCCGCCACCGUCGUCGCCGCCAGGCCGGCCCAAGCUCUAGGGCUCCCUCAGCUGAGGGUGACCAGGGCUGAGAAGCUGAGGUGCGCCUACUCCAAGGACGGCAAGGAGGAGGCGGCUGCGGCGACUCCGGCGGUCGUGAAAGGCGUGCCGCUGCUGGCCGCGGCGAGCGCAGCCAUGACGGCGGCGUCCCCGGCGCUGGCGCUGGUGGACGAGCGGAUGUCGACGGAGGGCACGGGGCUGAGCCUGGGGCUGAGCAACAACCUGCUGGGGUGGAUCCUGCUGGGCGUGUUCGGCCUCAUCUGGUCCCUCUACACCGUCUACUCCUCCACCCUCGACGACGACGACGAGUCCGGCGGCCUCUCCCUCUGA